RNAcentral lists this ribosomal RNA (346 nucleotides) under uncultured bacterium. RNAcentral's name for it is "partial 16S ribosomal RNA". It matches the Rfam family "Bacterial small subunit ribosomal RNA", at positions 338 to 681 of the family's 1533-position model. The record is from RNAcentral.
CCUACGGGAGACAGCAGUGAGGAAUAUUGGUCAAUGGGCGCGAGCCUGAACCAGCCAAGUAGCGUGAAGGAUGACUGCCCGACGGGUUGUAAACUUCUUGUAUAAAGGAAUAAAGUGAGGCACGUGUGCCUGUUUGUAUGUACGUUAUGAAUAAGGAUCGGCUAACUCCGUACCAGCAGCCGCGGUAAUACGGAGGAUCCGAGCGUUAUCCGGAUUUAUUUGGUUGAAAGGGAGAGUAGAUGGGUUGUUAAGGCAGUUGUGAACGUUUGCGGCUCAACCGUAAAAUUGCCAUUGAUACUGGCAGCCUUGUGUACAGUUGCGGUAGGCGGACUUCGUGUUGUCGCUG